Molecule: long non-coding RNA, 734 nt
Organism: Oncorhynchus tshawytscha (Chinook salmon)
Lineage: Eukaryota; Metazoa; Chordata; Actinopteri; Salmoniformes; Salmonidae
Source: Ensembl
UGGAAACAAAACCAUAGACAACAUUAUCAGUGGGGCAGUUCUCUUUGAACUCAUUAUGACCCCUUAAAAAAAUUGAGUUCGAGCCUUUGGGCAAAUUCAGUUCCAACUGUGUUCAAAACUGUUAUGCAUGCUGGAGUAUAAAAAGCUGUUGAAUUGUACUUUUUCUUAACUUUCACAUACACUGUGUUCACAGAAACAUUGCUCGAAUCUUGUCCCCUGGACCUUGGAGGACUUUUGGUGUGGGUAAUGUUCAGGGCCUACCAAUGCAAAGUUUCUCAAACAAAUGUGGGGUGUUUGUUUUGAUGCACACUAUUGUGGUGCCUAGUUCUCCUGCAGAACUUUCCAUGUCGAUGAUGUAUAUGAUUCUCCCCCAAGAAGUCACAGCAUGUCACAUCAGCCUCCAGCUCUGAAGGAUCAGACAAUACUGAAAACAAAAUGCACGGCGAACUGGGAGCUGUGAACUGUGAAGCAGCAAGGUGGUGCGAACGCCAAACAUUUAAAGGCACCAUUUCCCUCCCUAGUGUAAUUGGGAUGGAGGGGGAAGACCGUAUUACAACCCUUAAAGAACUACGGUUGUAUGAUGGCCUGGAUGAGGAGGAAAAUAUUCUCAUCAAGAAACCAUUCAUGUUCUCAUUCCAGUUACAGAGAUUAGAUGUUCUAUGUGGAGGCAGUUGACAACAAGAAAAUGACUGCCUUUGCCUCUUUUGAGGAGCAGGAGUGAAGCAAUUUUUGAG